Sapajus apella (tufted capuchin) is the source of this 1992-nucleotide long non-coding RNA. RefSeq lists it as uncharacterized. The record is from RefSeq and is a predicted model, not a curated record. The transcript has 3 exons. NCBI's taxonomy places the organism in Eukaryota, Metazoa, Chordata, Mammalia, Primates, Cebidae.
AGGGAGAGCAGAAGGGGGGAGGAAGGAAGCGCGGAAGAGAGGAAGGAAGAGAGGAAGGGAGGGAAACAGACCCAGCUCCAAAGGACAAAAUCCAAUGGGAGGGAGCUCAAGCAAGGAGAGUUUCUUUAAAGACACAAGAAAUGAGAGGAAGCAGGAGGUUCCCAGGGGCUUGCGGGUAGGAGAGCUGAAAUUCAAAAUGGAAAUCUACCAAAGCAGCAACUAGGCCGGUUGCAAAGGACUCAGCUGAGGCAUGAGAACAUGGGCAGAAAUAUCAAGAGAACUCAAAUUGCAAAUUUAGAUGGUUGCUCUGAGGUGGGUGUGGGAAGCGGGAAGACUCUGUGGACCUCUUUUUUUUUUUUCACCUGUGAGCUAGGAGGUAUGGCAUUAAGGCCUUUGCCAGCCUGACAUCCUAUGAUUCUGUUUUCCUUGAAAUUUCCUCUUGCCAGAGCUGGCCAUAGUAAUUGCAGCACCUUUACUAAGCGUGAAGGGAAAGGGCUACUAUCAAAGUGACAGAAGGGCUCAACUGCAUUGCCAUUAUUUUCUUGAGAAGAAGGUGUGCCAGACACCGCCUUAUUUGAGGCUGCCCUUUUGGGAUUAGGGAUUUCGAUGGUUCUAGGCGGCAGCCUUUUGGGAACUAAAUACGGCAUUAUGGUUAAGAACUGGCCUCUGAGAUCAGACAAACAUGGUGACCUUGAGCAAAUGACAUAACCACUUUGACCCUCAGUUUCCUCGUCUGUUCAAGAAUAAUGAUUAUGAUGACUUGGGGAUGCUGUAAGGAUGAACUGAGAGGAUGUGUAUAAAGUGCUUGGCACAGUGCCUGGCACAGCCAUGGAGCUGAAGAUGAGAAGGGGAUACAGAUGCUGGCAAUAGGGUUUCUGAAGGGGAAUGAUUUAAUUUGAGUUUAUCCUGAUCCCCCUGGCUUUUGAACGAAGAAUGGAUUCAGGAGGGGGAUGGGAGUAGAAGUCACAAGACCAGUGAGCAGGCUAUUUCAGGAGGUAACAGAGUAGAGAGCCUCAUGUAAUUUCUAUUCUCCACUCACUCAGGGUCUAGAAUAGAGGGAUUCUCAAUGUUGGUUAAGCGUUAGAAUCACUCAGUGAGUUUUAAGAAUGCUGAUGCCUAGGCUGCACCCAUACCACUUAAAUUAGGGCCUCUGAGGCUAGGACCCCGCAUCAGUCCUCUCUGAAGCUCCCCAGAUGAUUCCAAUGUAUUGUCCUAACACAAUCACCCUCUCCAAGAAUAGCGGGAAGGGAGUUCCUUUGAGCACCUACUAUGUGUCUGUGGCUAUGCCAGUUUAAUUUGCUUACAUUUGGCCAGUGAAUCCCCCCACAGCUGUGAGAGAUGGGUAUUACUGUACCUACUUUAUGGAUGGGGAAACUGAGACUCAAAGUAUUUUGCUUCCCCUCCUCCUGGCCUUGAGGAAGUCACUUAAGCCUCUUUGAGACUCAGUUUCUUUGUGUAAAUUGGAGAUAAUUUCUACUCCAUAGCAUUGUCAGGAGAAUUAAACAAGGCAGGGCUGCCUACAUCUGGAACAUAUUAAGAGUACAAUAGAUUGUAACUAUUAUUAGCAGAGCCCCAGGCCCCAGAGUUAGUAAGAGGCGGAGGCAGGCAAUGAGCACCACACUGCACCUUCCCCCAUCGCACAGGCGCCAGCUCCACGGAAGGAGGCUGAAUUCUGGCUUGUUCCUGUGGGUUCCUCGUGAGUCCCAGUCCAGGCACAAGGAUCAGAGCACCCUGACCAUGACUGUGAGUCAGCGUCCACACCAGACACUCCAGCCACAUGGUUGCAGUUUUAGUAGGCCCUCCCUGCUUUUUUCUGAAUUAUGACUCCCUUUCACAAUUAGGGGCUUGCCCAAAGGCAUAAAGUAAGUUAGAGACAGCUAGGGAUGAGGGCUGCCUAAGCUAGGGAUGACAUUUCCUGCCUAAGACAUUUUCCUCUUCCACAAGGGAGUAGAGGGGAAGGUGAGGCUUGUCACAUUGGGUGAGUUAUUGCUA